RNAcentral lists this ribosomal RNA (604 nucleotides) under uncultured bacterium. Its description in RNAcentral is "bacterial SSU rRNA". The stretch from base 1 to 533 matches the Rfam family "Bacterial small subunit ribosomal RNA", at positions 338 to 873 of the family's 1533-position model. The record is from RNAcentral.
CCUACGGGAGGCAGCAGUAAGGAAUAUUGGACAAUGGACGCAAGUCUGAUCCAGCCAUGCCGCGUGAAGGAUUAAGGCCCUCUGGGUUGUAAACUUCUUUUAUAGGGGACGAAAAAAGGGCUUUCUAGCUCGACUGACGGUACCCUAUGAAUAAGCACCGGCUAACUCCGUGCCAGCAGCCGCGGUAAUACGGAGGGUGCAAGCGUUAUCCGGAUUCACUGGGUUUAAAGGGUGCGUAGGCGGGCAGUUAAGUCAGUGGUGAAAUCUUCGAGCUCAACUCGGAAACUGCCAUUGAUACUAUCUGUCUUGAAUAUUGUGGAGGUGAGCGGAAUAUGUCAUGUAGCGGUGAAAUGCUUAGAUAUGACAUAGAACACCGAUUGCGAAGGCAGCUCGCUACACAAAUAUUGACGCUGAGGCACGAAAGCGUGGGGAUCAAACAGGAUUAGAUACCCUGGUAGUCCACGCCCUAAACUAUGGAUACUCGACAUUUGCGAUACACAGUAAGUGUCUGAGAGAAGANAUAAGUAUCCACCNGGAGACGACCGCGAGUAGUAACGUUAAUAGAGUAGAGAGNGAGAGNGCGAGGACGACGACGAGGGAGAGG